RNAcentral lists this ribosomal RNA (492 nucleotides) under uncultured bacterium. RNAcentral describes it as "partial 16S ribosomal RNA". It matches the Rfam family "Bacterial small subunit ribosomal RNA", at positions 29 to 507 of the family's 1533-position model. The record is from RNAcentral.
AGUGAACGCUGGCGGUAGGCCUAACACAUGCAAGUCGAACGGCAGCACAGUAAGAGCUUGCUCUUACGGGUGGCGAGUGGCGGACGGGUGAGGAAUACAUCGGACUCUACUUUUUCGUGGGGGAUAACGUAGGGAAACUUACGCUAAUACCGCAUACGACCUACGGGUGAAAGCAGGGGAUCUUCGGACCUUGCGCGAUUGAAUGAGCCGAUGUCGGAUUAGCUAGUUGGCGGGGUAAAGGCCCACCAAGGCGACGAUCCGUAGCUGGUCUGAGAGGAUGGUCAGCCACACUGGAACUGAGACACGGUCCAGGCUCCUACGGGAGGGAGCAGUGGGGAAUAUUGGACAAUGGGGGCAAGCCUGAUCCAGCCAUACCGCGUGGGUGAAGAAGGCCUUCGGGUUGUGAAGCCCUUUUGUUGGGAAAGAAAAGCAGCAGGUUAAUACCCCGCUGUUCUGACGGUACCCAAAGAAUAAGCACCGGCUAACUUCGUG